UGUUUCCUUACUUCAAGCCUUCAAGCUAACACUAGAAAUCAACUUUAAAACAUUUGAAACACAUUAUGACACUAGCCCUGCUAAAGCUUUUAUUAUUGUUAACAUGAACUAGAAAAAGGAAACGGAGAAGAUAGAAUCAGACAACCAAUUACAUUGAACAAAUAAUGUUCAUACCUUUACGCAUACCUGCAUAUUAUUCUCAUUCCAACGUGAACACAAGCAUACCUGAUUUAUUUUCAUCUCCACGAGCUAAAAUUGAAAAUAAUAAAAUUUUAAUACCACAAAAGUCUGAAAGAAAAACAGAGCUAAUCACGAUAACCAAUAAGGUAAUCAAUUAGCAUAUGUGAAUUCCACACAAACAAAAAAGAAUCAUACCAUAAUACUAUGUAGUUGAAACUCGAGCAUCUCGUGCAUAGGCAAAACUUUGAUUGGCCAUCUUACAAAUACUAUCAAACUGCUCCAUAUACAGAGGCUUGCAAAAAUUAAGAACUCAGAAUGUGAAACAAUAUGAUAAGCUUAAACAAGAUAAUGC
RNAcentral lists this long non-coding RNA (532 nucleotides) under Capsella grandiflora. RNAcentral's name for it is "long non-coding RNA (CGRA_LNC001235)". The record is from RNAcentral. Lineage: Eukaryota; Viridiplantae; Streptophyta; Magnoliopsida; Brassicales; Brassicaceae.